Molecule: ribosomal RNA, 448 nt
Filed under: uncultured bacterium
Lineage: Bacteria
Description: bacterial SSU rRNA
Rfam family: Bacterial small subunit ribosomal RNA
Source: RNAcentral
AACGAACGCUGGCGGCAUGCCUAACACAUGCAAGUCGAACGAGACCUUCGGGUCUAGUGGCGCACGGGUGCGUAGCGCGUGGGAAUCUGCCCUUGGGUUCGGAAUAACAGCGAGAAAUUGCUGCUAAUACCGGAUGAUGACGUAAGUCCAAAGAUUUAUCGCCCAAGGAUGAGCCCGCGUAGGAUUAGCUAGUUGGUGAGGUAAAGGCUCACCAAGGCGACGAUCCUUAGCUGGUCUGAGAGGAUGAUCAGCCACACUGGGACUGAGACACGGCCCAGACUCCUACGGGAGGCAGCAGUGGGGAAUAUUGGACAAUGGGCGAAAGCCUGAUCCAGCAAUGCCGCGUGAGUGAUGAAGGCCUAGGGUUGUAAAGCUCUUUACCCGGGAUGAUAAUGACAGUACCGGGAGAAUAAGCUCCGGCUAACUCCGUGCCAGCAGCCGCGGUAAU